UCCAGAGGGUUCCUUCAGCAGUGAUGUGGAGAGAGGUUUACAAAAGCUGCGAGAGUCUCCCGAGAAAGGGGAAAAAGGAAUCUCUGGGACCCCCCUCCACAGAGAUUCUUUUCUUCUCGCCCUAGCGCAGAAAUAACCUAUCAGCUGCCACCUCCAUCCCGCCAGGAUUCCCUUCCCUGCUGCUCCUUCGCGAACGCAGCAAGACCUCUUCCUUUUGCUCGGCCCUCGAGUCUUUCCACCUCCAGGGAAAAAAAAAAAAUGAAAGAUGCAGUCAGUACUCAAGUGGUCAGUUGGGCCAGUCCCAUUCCUUAGCACAGACUCUGAUGGAGCUAUGGUCCUUCUAGAAACUGAAUCCGGGAGAGCCACCGGCUUGUAGUCACAGACUUUUGUCUUUGGAGCUCAGGAAGCAACCCACCUGGCUUGAAUGCCAGUCCAAACACAGACAGCAGAGGGCGCCCACAGCAUGCUGUUGAGCCUGCACGGGUGCAAGUAGGUGCUGGCGGACCUUCUGGCCCCGGAAAGUUCAGAUUUACCGAAGGGAAUGGCUACCCACAUACCCAUGGCAUCUCUCCUCCUUGGCCCCUCUGUGAUUUUCUCCCAAACUCACGACCUACGUCGCGCUCACAUGUCAUUCUCUGUGUUCCUGAUAAGCAGCCUGGAAGCUGGGAACACGAACUUCGUGGCUAAUUUUGUAGAGAUCUUCCCUCCCACGAUACUUCACUGCCUCCUCCCUCUGAACUUUGAAAUGUUAAACUGUCGAUGCACAGAAGAGAAGACGUUAGCAGGAUUCCGUUGGGAGAGGGAGUCUCUAAGCGGCAGGUUUUGGUAAUGAGGCUACUCACCUCUUUAGUAAGUGAACUAUCUAAAGAUACCUUGAUUUUGGUUUUGGCUGGUGUAGAGGGAAGUCAUUUAAUUAAAUCUAACUGACUCUCCCCACCACCACCACCACCCCAAAGGAACGAAGGGAGUAGGAUGGCCCCAACUCACGCCUCAGAGAAGCCUGUGAGCCACUCAGCCCCUUACUGGUUCAGCCCACACAGAGGAACUGCCCCAGGUUUAUGGUGAUGAUACAGAUCUCAGAAGCUUGCCGAGGCGGACAGACCCCACUGGGAUGAUGCUCAUCAACGGAUUCCAGCUCCUGGGGAUCUGUCAAGUGGCUUUGACCAACUGACCAGUGGAUGAGGAGGCAAGCUGCAGGAGAGGUCCCACUGGAUUCAAAUCCAGAGGAAUAAAGCACACAACAUGCCAAGCAGAGUGACCUGGUUCAUUAAGAACGCUCCAUUGCACGGGGAUUCGAUCCUGGAAAACAACAUGGCCCUGGGCGGACAGUGACCAUCUUUAUGCUUGUGGCUGUGGCCACUGCAUACUCAGCAGCAGUUGGACAACUGCUAGGCUUCCCAGGCCACCUGAAGAGAUGUAAUGUGGGCCUUAGACCAAGUCAACACCAGUCUCAUCAAAGAACGAGGGUUCCUGUUGGACAGGUCAUUAGUAGAGGAAUUUUCAUUCCUCUAUUAUAGGCAAAAAUUCCAACACUUCUGUGGCAUCACUGAUCUCUAAUUACAUAGCUUCUGGGUAACUGUA
This is a non-coding RNA of Rattus norvegicus (Norway rat), 1581 nucleotides long. NCBI's taxonomy places the organism in Eukaryota, Metazoa, Chordata, Mammalia, Rodentia, Muridae. The record is from RefSeq and is a predicted model, not a curated record.